Homo sapiens (human) is the source of this 2382-nucleotide long non-coding RNA. RefSeq lists it as uncharacterized. Lineage: Eukaryota; Metazoa; Chordata; Mammalia; Primates; Hominidae. The record is from RefSeq and is a predicted model, not a curated record. The transcript has 5 exons.
CCUGCAGCUGCAAUAAGAAAAUGACACAUUCAGCGUCUUCUGGUUUAAGAUGAACAAAGGGAAUAUUUGAGAACCUGUUAAAAUCACCCAGCUCCAAGACACAAGAGCGUGUGCUGCAUCACGUGUGUGGAAAGGAAGCGGCUGUGUGGACGCAGGGCCCCUGUGCAGCUGAAGGCGCCUCAUGUGAUCCUGGGCUCACCCCGACUGCGGCCCCAGCCCUCUUGCCUGAGCGCCUUGAGAGGAGCUUGAGAAGUGUUUACCGGAUACACUUUCUACGCUGACGUCUCAGUCUGUUUCUUCAUCGGUUUAAGUAGAUGCAAAACGUCGUCUAAACGGUGCCACCAAGACAUUGUCUGAACGGAACCACCGACCCCCCAUUUUCUUCAGAGCGAGGCUGCCCAAGGGCCCGGAGGCUGUGCCUGCCCCACGGAAAACACGACCGAACGCAACCUGGUCACGAGCAUGGAGGGGCCUCCUGUGAACCCAUCGCCCGGGCGACCAUGAGAGAAAAGCCCUUCCCUGUCCUCAGACGUGGAGCCACCAGGAGCACCAGUGCAGACGAGCCUGUCCCUAGACGUGGAGCUCAGCCCAGGGAGGGGGCCCUGACCAUCUUGACAGCCACGGGGUGGGGGCACCAGGACCAGUGUCACCCUGUUGGGGGCUCUGGGCACACGGUGCCAUCUGUCACCUGCAGUGACCAGGAAGCUCUGCUGGAAGGAGACGCCCUGCCCCACCCGGCAGUGCCAAGGCCUGGGACUCACCGGGCUCUGGGCGUCGGGCAGGGCCCCGUCCGCCUGCUGCCGCCCCAGGUCCUUCACGUAGUUGUGGACGUCGGCCCCGAAGCAGUCGGCCUCGUAGAAGGCGCUGCACCAGCCGGGGCUGCAGCUCUGGAAUCCGGCUGGGCCGGGGGACAAGGCUGGGCCGACCCCUUUGGACCUGGCCAGUCGGGUCACUGCCUCCACGUCUGAGGCCCCGCCAGCUGGCCGUCUGUCCUCGCCAGCCUCAGGCUGCUGCGCUCUCUCGGCUUUUACGGACCUCUGAGGCCGAAACCCCACCUCGAAGUUUCCCCGUGACAGUGCGUCCGAGUCCACAUCCGACACCGAGGUGGGUGAGCAGGGGGCCCUGCUGCUGGUCCUGGCCAUGGCUGGCUUCUCUUUUCCUUGAAAGAAAGAGACGCAGGUUACGUGGACAGUGGCUCCUGUGGGCGGAGCCCGGGCAGGCUGUUAAUGGGAGGCCGGUGGUGCUUGCACACCCGACGCCCUUCUCUCUUGCACCCGCCCACCACGGGCGCCCCCCGGGCACGGCUGCCGCCUCCCAGUGCAGGGGAGAUGCUGGGACCCUGAACUGCCGCACGGGGCCGGGUGACAGAGAGAGGCCUCUCCCCAGAUGGAGCCCCACUCUGCGCCCUCACUGCUUCCAAACUCGUACUCGCCCCGGGGUGGGGCCGGGCCCUGUCCUCGCUGGCUCUGCUAUCAGGACUGUGUCCCUCUGCCCCCUCACGCUCUCCUCUUUUCUUCUGGAAUUUAAAAAGUGGUCCCCAGCUCUGUCCCUGCGGGAGCUUCCCCUGUGCAGGGCUUUCCUGCCAUCCAGGAGUGCACGGGCCUCAUGCCCCAGCCUGCCCGCCUGGUCUCCGACUUGAUAGGAACUGGGCCCGUCACCAAGCCUGGCCACGACUACGGACAGCCUGAGGGUGACCACCACCCCCACCUUGUCCCUAACACCAAGCCUGCUGGCUGGACGCUGGGACGUCCCCAGCCUGGCACUCAUGUGCCCUGGGAUCCUGGGGCUAACAAGCCCACUUCUGCCUUGUCACCAAAGCCCCGGCUCACAGGCCCCCCUCUGCUUGGAGAGCGGAUCCCACCUGGCUCCCGGCGGCUCCCACUGUCCCAGUGGCCGGUGACAGAGGACCCCCCACCUCCAAGGUCCUGGGCUCCUGCUCGCCCCCAGAAGAGGACGGCCUUUGGCUGGGCACCCCCAGGAGAGGACGGCCUUUGGCUGGGCACCCCCAGGAGAGGGCGGCCUUUGGCUGGGCACCCCCAGGAGAGGGCGGCCUUUGGCUGGGCACCCCCGGGGCAAAGGCAGCCCCGCUGGAGCAGUGCAGUCUGAGGCUGCUGGGACCCUGGGGCGCCCCCCGCAUUGCAGAGAGCACAGAGGAGCCGCCCAGCAGAGCUCCUGCCGCGGGGCCCGCCCAGCACUUACCCAGGCGGUGCAGCGACGGCCUCUUGCUGGACGGGGAGCGGGGGCUUUGGCUGCCCUCGAGCUGUGACCCAGCCUCCUCGGCCGUGCUGACGACGAGAAUGCAGAUGCACCCACCCACAGCUCGGUGGUCAACAGAGACCGGGGUGUGGGGCUGCCGGGAGCGGCCAGGCAAGGGCAAGUGCG